RNAcentral lists this ribosomal RNA (427 nucleotides) under uncultured bacterium. Its description in RNAcentral is "partial 16S ribosomal RNA". It matches the Rfam family "Bacterial small subunit ribosomal RNA", at positions 355 to 774 of the family's 1533-position model. The record is from RNAcentral.
UGGGGAAUAUUGCACAAUGGGCGCAAGCCUGAUGCAGCCAUGCCGCGUGUAUGAAGAAGGCCUUCGGGUUGUAAAGUACUUUCAGCGAGGAGGAAGGCGGUAAGGUUAAUAACCUUAUCGAUUGACGUUACUCGCAGAAGAAGCACCGGCUAACUCCGUGCCAGCAGCCGCGGUAAUACGGAGGGUGCAAGCGUUAAUCGGAAUUACUGGGCGUAAAGCGCACGCAGGCGGUCUGUCAAGUCGGAUGUGAAAGCCCCGGGCUCAACCUGGGAACUGCAUUCGAAACUGGCAGGCUAGAGUCUUGUAGAGGGGGGUAGAAUUCCAGGUGUAGCGGUGAAAUGCGUAGAGAUCUGGAGGAAUACCGGUGGCGAAGGCGGCCCCCUGGACAAAGACUGACGCUCAGGUGCGAAAGCGUGGGGAGCAAACA